CCUACGGGAGGCAGCAGUAGGGAAUAUUGCGCAAUGGGCGAAAGCCUGACGCAGCCACGCCGCGUGAGUGAGGAAGGCCUUCGGGUUGUAAGGCUCUGUCAUCUGGGAAAAACAGACAGGAGGGGAAAGUUCUCUUGUUUUGAUGGUACCAGAGGAGGAAGCACCGGCAAACUCUGUGCCAGCAGCCGCGGUAAUACAGAGGGUGCAAGCGUUGUUCGGAAUUACUGGGCGUAAAGCGUGCGUAGGCGGUAUUGAGAGUCACGGGUGAAAUCCCCAAGCUUAACUUGGGAACUGCCUGUGAGACCUCAGUACUAGAGUGCGAGAGAGGAUAGUGGAAUUCCUAGUGUAGCGGUGAAAUGCGUAGAGAUUAGGAAGAACACCGGUGGCGAAGGCGACUAUCUGGCUCGUAACUGACGCUCAGGCACGAAAGCGUGGGGAGCAAACAGGAUUAGAUACCCUGGUAGUCCACGCCGUAAACUAUGCAUACAAGAUGUGGUGGGUUUUUUCUCCUGCCGUGUCGAAGCUAACGCAAUUAGUAUGCCGCCUGGGGAGUACGGUCGCAAGACUAAAACUCAAAGGAAUUGACGG
Molecule: ribosomal RNA, 588 nt
Filed under: uncultured bacterium
Lineage: Bacteria
Description: bacterial SSU rRNA
Rfam family: Bacterial small subunit ribosomal RNA
Source: RNAcentral